This is a long non-coding RNA of Beta vulgaris subsp. vulgaris (sugar beet), 985 nucleotides long. RefSeq lists it as uncharacterized. The record is from RefSeq and is a predicted model, not a curated record. The transcript has 3 exons. Lineage: Eukaryota; Viridiplantae; Streptophyta; Magnoliopsida; Caryophyllales; Amaranthaceae.
GUUAAGCGCCAAAUUAUCCUUUCCCCCAAAACAAAUAUGCCUCGUACAACAAAGAACGAAAAAACAGAACCCAAAACCCUAGGUUUUUGCGGUGGCGAGAAGCAAUCAGUUUUCUCAAAUUCCCAAAACAUUCCUAAUACUGUCAGUUUGCGGUGGCGAGAAGCAAUCAGUUUGCGGUGGAGAACAUUUACCAACAACAUCACAACUCAAAUCCAUCUGCAGCGUCGUCGGUCUCUUUUCCUCGGUUUCCAUCUUCAUUCGUAUUUUGUUUUUUGAAAUAUGAUGAGAGCAGAGUGAUUCAUGUUAUAUUAGUAGUUUUCCUAAUUUCUUGAUUUCACUGUCAAUUUUGUCGAAUUAUUGCUUAAAUGAGAAAUCUUAAUUGUUUCUUUAUUGGAUUUUACCAUCAAUUCUGUCGAAUUUUUUGAUUUUACUGUCAGUUUCCAGUAGUGGUUGUGUUUACAGUUGUUGAUUUUUUUGUAGACACUAACUUUGAUACAGUAUUGGAAAUUUAGCUCUUCGGUGGCUGAAAUUUUCGUGGAUAGUCACUGAACUUCUCUUAGCCAAGAAGUCUCGCUCUAAGAGACAAAGUGUACGAUCAUUUGAUUGCAAAUGGCACUGAGCCUGGCACUGGAGGACUACUGAUGCUGAUAUGCCAGACAUCAAAGAUAACAUGAAGGCACUAGUGAUCAAGAGAAGGAUAAGAAUGAAGAGAAUCAAAAUGAUGAAUUGGAAUAGCAACACAUGAAAUCGAGGUUGCUAGGAAAAUGGAUGCAUAUGGCGAGAUGAUAACAUAUGGAGUACAAAUCAGAUAUAUUAGAUCUAGUUUUAGAUUACCAUAUGAAUACGUACAUUCUUGUUGGAUGAUUUUGAUUUUAGAUUGAAAAUAUAUGUUGUUUUAUUUCAUUAGUUUAUUAUUUAUGAAAGUAGCUCUAAUAAGUGUACAAUAUUCUAUUAUUAUUAAAAUAUAUAUAAUUGUCAUUUCAUA